Ictidomys tridecemlineatus (thirteen-lined ground squirrel) is the source of this 1225-nucleotide non-coding RNA. NCBI's taxonomy places the organism in Eukaryota, Metazoa, Chordata, Mammalia, Rodentia, Sciuridae. The record is from RefSeq and is a predicted model, not a curated record.
UCCUUGUCUUGUAGUCCAGCUGGCAUUUUUCUUGUACUCUCUCCUUGCCACCGGAUGUUCUUCAGGCUGGCCAGGGGCUGUCGGGGGUCACAAAACUCUCACACUACCUGGUCAAGGCACUCUGGUCCAAUGGUGCAGUGGGUUUGAAGUCCUGCUAUAGGACCAGCUGGAGUUUGAUGGCCUCUAGAUGAGAAAAGAUAAACUUUAUUAGUACAUUUAUUAGGCAGGGUCCUAAUCACAAAGACAGAAGGAGCAUCAGAAGGGAUCCCACCGAGCAUAGUAACCAAGGCAUCCAGUUCCAAAUUUUGACCAUUAUCCCAUAUGACUCUGAGAGCUGCUGCUGCUGAAUCCUCAAGAAUGGUCUGCUAAUUUCUUUGUUGCAUCUUUAACCAUCUCAGAUUGGUUUACGUGAAGAUAGCUUUUUUCCUCCAGGAAGAGACAUAGUCCUCUCUUUUCAGUGGUUAAUCUUAUCUUCUCCAAUUUUGGGGAGUGACUGCUGCUAAUGAGUCUACCUGAUUCUGGAAGAUAAUCUCCUACGUUGGUGGCCUCCUGGCUUCAGGAAUUGUGGUUCAGGCAUGGAGCCCAAAGGGCAAUGGGUUCCAGAGCUCAAAUGCAUGGCAGCAGGAAGCUAUGACCUGAGCCUAGCCCCAGAUGAUGCUGUCAAGCUCUUACAAAGACAGAUCUAUACCUGCCAGUCCCGCAGGUGUGAGCUGUAAGUCUGUUUCGUGGAGAUCGUUUUCACCAUCAUUUUCCCCUUCCAGUUUGAAGAGGUGUUUCUGGAAUGGAGCUGGGAUCAAUACUAUGUUUUGUUCAAUUCUAGAGACUAUAUUGCUGGGAGUUCUCUUCAGAAUCAAUAACUGAUGCAUGAUGUUACAGAAUCUUGCAUGAAACCACCAUUCAAAGUACAAGAAAGACAAAUGGAUUUUAAUGUAAAAGCACCAGAAGUUCAGUAAUAUGGUCUCAGAUUCCACCUUGCAAUUAAUCUAAAGAAGCUACUACUUAUUUUGAGGAGGUAUCAGAGAAGAAUAUAUACUAUUUGCUGAAAAGGAUACUAAAGUACUCCUCCCCUUUUCAACUAUACAUCUGUGUGAGCAAAGGUUUUGUCUAUAUACUCAACCAAAGCAACAUAUGGAAACAAAUUACAUGCAGAAGAUUUGAGAUGCUAUUUUUCUUCUAUUAAUUGAGACAUUGAAGAAAUUUGCAGAAAAUUAAAAAAGGGGGGAAG